UACAGAGGGUGCGAGCGUUAAUCGGAAUUACUGGGCGUAAAGCGUGCGUAGACGGUUCUGUAAGUCGGAUGUGAAAUCCCCGGGCUCAACCUGGGAAUGGCAAUGGAUACUGGGCAGCUAGAGUGUGUCAGAGGAUGGUGGAGUUCCCGGUGUAGCGGUGAAAUGCGUAGAGAUCCGGAGGAACACCGACGGCGAAGGCAGCGCCCUGGCCGCCAUCUGACGCUCAGGCACGAAAGCUGGGGGAGCGAACAGG
This 253-nucleotide ribosomal RNA is filed under the name uncultured bacterium. Its description in RNAcentral is "partial 16S ribosomal RNA". It matches the Rfam family "Bacterial small subunit ribosomal RNA", at positions 524 to 776 of the family's 1533-position model. The record is from RNAcentral.